GCACGUCAAAAUACUCUAGUAAGGGUUCCGGCCAAUUUUUCAAAACUUUGGUCAACUAAUGGUUAAUAGUCAACUUUAACAGAAUGUACUUGAGAAUUUUCCCUCCAGAUUCUGAAAUGGUUUGGUUUGUUGCAUAUUUUCUUCGGAUUUUCAGGGUAAAAUUCAAACGCUCCGUUCAGAGCCAUUUCACAAUCAAAUUUUGCCCAUAAUAUAUCAAAACAAAGUUUAGGACGAGAGGAAUAAGAUAAUACAUAUUUCAAGGCCAAAAGUUGGUCGAAGAUCAUCAGAAAAUGACCUAAAAGUGAUGGCUCGAGUUGGAGUUCUCCAUUUUCGUUGGUUUCGAAGUGAAUUUGAGCAUGCAAGCUCAAACCCAUGGCCUAGGGGUUGUGGGAAGUCGUCCUACACCUUCAAACUCAACCACAUCAACAAGGUUUCGUUGGGUUUAACUUGGAAAAACCUACAACUCGCUAGAAAACAUGGUGGGUUAGGAAAUCGUCUAUGCGUUCACCAAAACAUGCAUGCAUGCAUGAAACUUGUUAGAACUUGAAGAAGACCUUGAGAAAGAAGGUCGAAGCUUACCGAGAUGGAAGCGGUUUGAUUCGUUGGGUUCCGUCGAGUUACGUAAGGAAAAGUUCAUAUUUUUCCUAAGCUAGCCACAACCAUAAGGUUUUGGACGAGUUAUAAAGAUCGUUAGGAAGCUUUUGGGUGAGUUUGUGAAAUUUUUAGGAGUGGUGUGGUGGUGUGUUACCAAGAAGAAGAGAGUGAGGAGAGAGCAGCAGAAGGAGAAAUUUUUCACUGUGACUGGUACACGGGUGGUACACCAUGUGUCACUAUAUAAAUGAUGAGAUAUGUGUGUUAAAAACUUAAUAACUUAAAAAAUAAAAAUUUUCACCACUUAUAUAAAAAUACGUGACGUACCCUCUGUGUUCCGGUCAAAAUGAAAAAUUUCUCCGACGGGAGAGAGAGUUGGGAAAUGUGAGAGGGAGAGAAAUUUUAAUGGGUAUAGAGGGAGAAAGGGAGAGAUGUGAGGGGGAGAGAGAGAGAGAGAGAGAGAGAGAGCCGGCUAAAUGAGAGGAAAAGGAAAAAGUGUUGGGGAGUUAUGAUGUCUAAUGGAAUUGAAUGAGAGGAGUGGAUUUUUAAAAUCUUUUAAAACUAUUGUUUUAAUGGCACUUGCAUGCUUUUGGAUUUCCAUAAGGAAACAUGAGCAGGCUUUCACCCUGCACAAAGACACACUCACACACUCAAAUCUAAUAAAAUAAUAAUUAAAAUCAAUUUGCUUUGGAUCCUCGCCGGAUCCCCUCCCUGGGGAUCCUAGGGAUCAACGGAUGUGGAUCGUUGAUAAAAAAUCGUGAGGCCACAAUUUUUUCUUUUUUUUUAAUAUUUUUCACGAAAAACAAAGUUGCUUUACUUUUAAAAAUAUAAAAAG
RNAcentral lists this long non-coding RNA (1426 nucleotides) under Malus domestica (apple). Its description in RNAcentral is "long non-coding RNA (MDOM_LNC006849)". Lineage: Eukaryota; Viridiplantae; Streptophyta; Magnoliopsida; Rosales; Rosaceae. The record is from RNAcentral.